The sequence is a small nuclear RNA, 117 nucleotides long. Its record names the gene U4. It matches the Rfam family "U4 spliceosomal RNA". Rfam says of the family: U4 small nuclear RNA (U4 snRNA) is a component of the major U2-dependent spliceosome. The structure of U4 snRNA from yeast and human has been reported. The record is from Ensembl.
CUUCUUCCGCAGUGGCGCUAUCGUAGCCCAUGAGGUCUGUCCGAGGUGCGAUUUUCGCUAGUUGAAAACUUUUGGAAUAUAAUCGGCCAAGGCAACCUUUGCCAGUGUCUUUGGAGA